Molecule: long non-coding RNA, 602 nt
Filed under: Gossypium barbadense (sea-island cotton)
Lineage: Eukaryota; Viridiplantae; Streptophyta; Magnoliopsida; Malvales; Malvaceae
Description: long non-coding RNA (GBAR_LNC016731)
Source: RNAcentral
UUAGAAAUACAUGACUUGAGAAAUUUCAAACUUUGGCUUCAAUAAAUACAUAUUAGUCACGUGUUAACGAUUUAGAUGUGAAUAUCUAAAUAAGAGGGACCAAUGUUUAUUGGAUCAAAUGAUAAAAAAUUUGAUGUCUUUUAAAUAAGAAAUCAAGUUUGAGUUUUGUGAAUGAAAAAAUAAUCCCGAAAAAGUUUCUUCCUUUAUUCAGCGGUCGAACUUAGGCACAACUACAAAUUUAGUUGGAGCCCAAUACGGAUUUAGACUAAAAAAAAAGGAGUACAAUAGGGACUAGAUUCCCAUGACGGACGAUAUCUAUAAAGUUAAGUAACAGGUACAUUCUUAGCAAAGAGGGCUUUCUAAAGCAUAAGACUUGGAACUAAGCUGACUCGCACCCAAUUUGCUUAACUCUAUCUACAUAUCAUGGCGGAUUCUCGGAACUUUCGAACUAACAUCGAAAAAACUAUCGAGGUUCCAUUAUAGAAGCUGUUAUGUGAUUGGCUGAAAGUGUUGCAGGCCUGCUUGAAGGCUGAUUUGAAUUAGAGAAUGCAGGCUGUUUGGGAGAAUUUAGAACUGUAAGUUCAUUGGUAAGCAUCGANNNN